GACGAACGCUGGCGGCGUGCCUAAUACAUGCAAGUCGAGCGGACGGAUGGGAGCUUGCUCCCAGACCGUCAGCGGCGGACGGGUGAGUAACACGUGGGCAACCUGCCUGUAAGACUGGGAUAACUCCGGGAAACCGGGGCUAAUACCGGAUAACUCUUUCCCUCACAUGAGGGAAAGCUGAAAGAUGGCAUCUCGCUAUCACUUACAGAUGGGCCCGCGGCGCAUUAGCUAGUUGGCGAGGUAACGGCUCACCAAGGCGACGAUGCGUAGCCGACCUGAGAGGGGGAUCGGCCACACUGGGACUGAGACACGGCCCAGACUCCUACGGGAGGCAGCAGUAGGGAAUCUUCCGCAAUGGACGAAAGUCUGACGGAGCAACGCCGCGUGAGUGAUGAAGGUUUUCGGAUCGUAAAACUCUGUUGUCAGGGAAGAACAAGUACCGGAGUAACGGCCGGUACCUUGACGGUACCUGACCAGAAAGCCACGGCUAACUACGU
RNAcentral lists this ribosomal RNA (497 nucleotides) under uncultured bacterium. RNAcentral's name for it is "partial 16S ribosomal RNA". It matches the Rfam family "Bacterial small subunit ribosomal RNA", at positions 28 to 506 of the family's 1533-position model. The record is from RNAcentral.